RNAcentral lists this ribosomal RNA (465 nucleotides) under Vreelandella stevensii. RNAcentral's name for it is "partial 16S ribosomal RNA". It matches the Rfam family "Bacterial small subunit ribosomal RNA", at positions 338 to 795 of the family's 1533-position model. The record is from RNAcentral. Lineage: Bacteria; Pseudomonadati; Pseudomonadota; Gammaproteobacteria; Oceanospirillales; Halomonadaceae.
CCUACGGUGGGCUGCAGUGGGGAAUAUUGGACAAUGGGCGAAAGCCUGAUCCAGCCAUGCCGCGUGUGUGAAGAAGGCCUUCGGGUUGUAAAGCACUUUCAGUGGGGAAGAAAGCCUUGGGGCUAAUACCCUCGAGGAAGGACAUCACCCACAGAAGAAGCACCGGCUAACUCCGUGCCAGCAGCCGCGGUAAUACGGAGGGUGCGAGCGUUAAUCGGAAUUACUGGGCGUAAAGCGCGCGUAGGCGGUCUGAUAAGCCGGUUGUGAAAGCCCCGGGCUCAACCUGGGAACGGCAUCCGGAACUGUCAGGCUAGAGUGCAGGAGAGGAAGGUAGAAUUCCCGGUGUAGCAGUGAAAUGCGUAGAGAUCGGGAGGAAUACCAGUGGCGAAGGCGGCCUUCUGGACUGACACUGACGCUGAGGUGCGAAAGCGUGGGUAGCAAACAGGAUUAGAUACCCCAGUAGUC